Molecule: ribosomal RNA, 440 nt
Filed under: uncultured bacterium
Lineage: Bacteria
Description: partial 16S ribosomal RNA
Rfam family: Bacterial small subunit ribosomal RNA
Source: RNAcentral
CCUACGGGAGGCAGCAGUGGGGGAUAUUGCACAAUGGGGGAAACCCUGAUGCAGCGACGCCGCGUGUGGGAAGACGGUCCUCUGGAUUGUAAACCACUGUCCCCAGGGACGAAGAUGACGGUACCGGGGGAGGAAGCGCCGGCUAACUACGUGCCAGCAGCCGCGGUAAUACGUAGGGAGCAAGCGUGGUCCGGAAUUACUGGGUGUAAAGGGAGCGUAGGCGGGAUGGCAAGUUGGGUGUUAAAUCUACCGGCUCAACUGGUAGUCGCACUCAAAACUGCUAUUCUUGAGUGCAGUAGAGGCCGUCGGAAUUCCUAGUGUCGCGGUGAAAUGCGUAGAUAUUAGGCGGAACACCAGUGGCGAAGGCGGCCUGCUGGGCUUUUCCUGACGCUGAGGCUCGAAAGUGUGGGGAGCAAACAGGAUUCGAUACCCUUGUAGUC